Molecule: ribosomal RNA, 526 nt
Filed under: uncultured eukaryote
Lineage: Eukaryota
Description: SSU rRNA
Rfam family: Eukaryotic small subunit ribosomal RNA
Source: RNAcentral
UAUACAGCGAAACUGCGAAUGGCUCAUUAUAUAAGUUAUCGUUUAUUUGAUAGUGCCUUACUACUUGGAUAACCGUGGUAAUUCUAGAGCUAAUACAUGCUAAAAACCCCGACUUCGGAAGGGGUGUAUUUAUUAGAUACAAAACCAAUGCCCUUCGGGGCUCUUUGGUGAUUCAUGAUAACUAUACGAAUCGCACGGCCUUGCGCCGGCGAUGGUUCAUUCAAAUUUCUUCCCUAUCAACUUUCGAUGUUUGGGUAUUGGCCAAACAUGGUUGCAACGGGUAACGGAGGGUUAGGGCUCGACCCCGGAGAAGGAGCCUGAGAAACGGCUACUACAUCCAAGGAAGGCAGCAGGCGCGCAAAUUACCCAAUCCCGACUCGGGGAGGUAGUGACAAUAAAUACUGAUACAGGGCCCUUUCGGGCCUUGUAAUUGGAAUGAGCACAAUUUAAAUCCCUUAACGAGGAACAAUUGGAGGGCAAGUCUGGUGCCAGCAGCCGCGGUAAUUCCAGCUCCAAUAGCGUAUAU